AACGAACGCUGGCGGCAGGCUUAACACAUGCAAGUCGAACGCACCGCAAGGUGAGUGGCAGACGGGUGAGUAACACGUGGGAACGUACCCCUUUGUUCGGAAUAACCCUGGGAAACUAAGGGCUAAUACCGGAUACGGCCGGAAGGCGAAAGGUUUACCGCAGAGGGAUCGGCCCGCGUCCGAUUAGCUUGUUGGUGAGGUAAUGGCUCACCAAGGCAUCGAUCGGUAGCUGGUCUGAGAGGAUGGCCAGCCACAUUGGGACUGAGACACGGCCCAAACUCCUACGGGAGGCAGCAGUGGGGAAUAUUGGACAAUGGGCGCAAGCCUGAUCCAGCCAUGCCGCGUGAGUGAUGACGGCCUUAGGGUUGUAAAGCUCUUUUACCUGGGAAGAUAAU
RNAcentral lists this ribosomal RNA (395 nucleotides) under uncultured bacterium. RNAcentral's name for it is "bacterial SSU rRNA". It matches the Rfam family "Bacterial small subunit ribosomal RNA", at positions 29 to 452 of the family's 1533-position model. The record is from RNAcentral.